This 223-nucleotide long non-coding RNA is filed under the name Elaeis guineensis (African oil palm). RNAcentral's name for it is "long non-coding RNA (EGUI_LNC069655)". The record is from RNAcentral. Lineage: Eukaryota; Viridiplantae; Streptophyta; Magnoliopsida; Arecales; Arecaceae.
GAUGGUUACCCACUCGUCGAUGCUUGCUCAAAGUUACUGUGGUGUAGAUAGUUCUCUGAUCUGUAGUGCCUCAGCUAUUCAUAGUUGGGAUACUGUAAUUUGACUGUAUAAUCACUUGGUUACCUAGCCAUUCAAAACCUUAUGGUGUAUGUUGGCUACAGUAGAUCCAUUGUAGGAAUAGAGUGUGUACCAAGAUGAGAUCUGUCGAUCCUAAUAGAUAAGG